This 746-nucleotide ribosomal RNA is filed under the name Gammarus mucronatus. RNAcentral describes it as "bacterial SSU rRNA". It matches the Rfam family "Eukaryotic small subunit ribosomal RNA", at positions 4 to 672 of the family's 1831-position model. Lineage: Eukaryota; Metazoa; Arthropoda; Malacostraca; Amphipoda; Gammaridae. The record is from RNAcentral.
CUGGUUGAUCCUGCCAGUAGUCAUAUGCUUGUCUCAAAGAUUAAGCCAUGCAUGUCUAAGUCCAAGCUGUGUUCACACGGCGAGACCGCGGACGGCUCAUUAAAUCAGUCGUGGUCCAAAUGGGCCAGUGCAAAUCCUACUUGGAUAACUGUGGUAAUUCCAGAGCUAAUACAUGCAACUGAUAUCCCGAAGGCGGUGUCUGUGCUUGCUUGCCUUGCGCUCUCACUGCUCUGACGGAUGCUUUUAUUAGACCAAGCCGCUGAGGACUUGGAGGCAACUCCUUGUUCGACUCGUACAAUGGUGACUCUGGAUAACCAAUUCUGACAAGCGCACGUACUCCUCUUCCGAGCGAGACGGCGCUGCCACUUUCGAGUGUCUGCCUUAUCAGCUAUCAACCGUUCGUUAUGCGCGACCGAUGGCUUUGACGGGUAACGGGGAAUCAGGGUUCGAUUCCGGAGAGGCAGCCUGAGAGACGGCUACCACGUCCAAGGACGGCAGCAGGCACGCAAAUUACCCAAUCCCAGCAAAUGGGGGAGGUAGUGACGAAAUCUAACGAUGCGGGCGCCCUUUCUGGGGCCCCGCAAUCGGAAUGGGCACUUUCUAAACAACCUGUUGAGAACCUACUGAAGGGCAAGUCUGGUGCCAGCAGCCGCGGUAAUUCCAGCUUCAGCAGCAUCUAUUAAAGUUGCUGCRGUUAAAARGCUCGYAGUUGAAUGUCUGUAUCGAGCGCAGGUCAGGUGGACGUU